This 389-nucleotide long non-coding RNA is filed under the name Gossypium barbadense (sea-island cotton). Its description in RNAcentral is "long non-coding RNA (GBAR_LNC019761)". Lineage: Eukaryota; Viridiplantae; Streptophyta; Magnoliopsida; Malvales; Malvaceae. The record is from RNAcentral.
CCCUUCCUCGUUCCAUGCUAUUAAACCCGAUGCCGAUCUGAAAUCCUGACUGUUGAAGGCUGCAUCAAAAUGAAUAAUGGUCCUACCGCUUCUGGACACCUGUUGAGAAAACUCAUGAGACAAAAGAGUAAUUUUUCCUUCCUUUGUAACUGCAAGUUCUGUAAUAUAAUCGCUGAUCUUCCUAACGAUUUCUGAUCCUGACAUAUUCUUUCUUUCAUAAACGAGCUGGUUUCUACUGAACCAUAUGAACCAGAGGCUACAACAGAAGAGUCGAAGUUGUUCAUCAGUUCCUCUAGCAAAGACCCAUUUAAGCCAACCCCAUAUAUUAUCAUUAUUCUAACUCAGUAGCCAUGAAAGAUUCAACUGAUUCCAAACUUCUAUCGAUGUAG